This 341-nucleotide long non-coding RNA is filed under the name Bos taurus (domestic cattle). Its description in RNAcentral is "long non-coding RNA NONBTAT026695". Lineage: Eukaryota; Metazoa; Chordata; Mammalia; Artiodactyla; Bovidae. The record is from RNAcentral.
CCGGCUGCCUCGGGAAGAGUUCGUUGAAACAACUUUGAACCGUGUUUUCCGCGCGGGGUCCUGGUGCGCUGACCAGAUCGUGGACUUGUUCACACUUACCUGCAAUUUGAGACGAAUUGUCCUGGGUAAUUUAGUGAGGAUCAGCGCCCCUGAAGAAUUCUGGUAGAAAUAUACCGUCUUGUUAGACAACUUCUGAAACAGCAAAUCUCUUUAUUUAGGGAAAUUUAGUGCACUUAAACUAAAUAUUCUCGUUUGCCAUAUUUUGUCUCAUGUAAAACUUAAGAGAAGCAGCCAAGGAUCUUUUUGAGGUGGUUGAAGAAUAACAGUCAAUUUGUUCCUCU